Molecule: ribosomal RNA, 534 nt
Filed under: uncultured bacterium
Lineage: Bacteria
Description: bacterial SSU rRNA
Rfam family: Bacterial small subunit ribosomal RNA
Source: RNAcentral
AAUAGAUACCCCGGUAGUCCACGCCCUAAACGAUGUCUACUAGUUGUCGGGUCUUAAUUGACUUGGUAACGCAGCUAACGCGUGAAGUAGACCGCCUGGGGAGUACGGUCGCAAGAUUAAAACUCAAAGGAAUUGACGGGGACCCGCACAAGCGGUGGAUGAUGUGGAUUAAUUCGAUGCAACGCGAAAAACCUUACCUACCCUUGACAUGGUCGGAAUCCUGGAGAGAUCCGGGAGUGCUCGAAAGAGAACCGAUACACAGGUGCUGCAUGGCUGUCGUCAGCUCGUGUCGUGAGAUGUUGGGUUAAGUCCCGCAACGAGCGCAACCCUUGUCAUUAGUUGCUACGAAAGGGCACUCUAAUGAGACUGCCGGUGACAAACCGGAGGAAGGUGGGGAUGACGUCAAGUCCUCAUGGCCCUUAUGGGUAGGGCUUCACACGUCAUACAAUGGUGCAUACAGAGGGCUGCCAACCCGCGAGGGGGAGCUAAUCCCAGAAAGUGCAUCGUAGUCCGGAUUGUAGUCUGCAACUCGUA